CGACAGAAGUAAUACUCUCCCGUCCACCAGGUGGAACAGUUGUAGAUUCCUACGUUGUGAUUUUGUUAAUAUACAAUGAUGAUUUUAAAAUUAUAUUAAAUAUAAAAAAUAUAUAAGAUUCAAUGAUCGCGUACGAGUUACUACUCCGGCAGCUGUGUCCGUGAAUAAAAAAAGCACUAGGGACGCAGCAAAUGCUAUGUUGUGCAAACGAGAGCAGCGGCCGAGCAGACGAAAUAGGAGUCGCGAUAAACGAAUGUGGGUUGCCCCUCUGAGACCUUGGCGAUGGUAUAGAGGAGACAGAGUGAGAAGAAUCGAGGAAAGAGGCUACCUUAUCAGAGUCAGCCUGGAGGCUUAAACUUCGUCCGCGUGGCCGACGUCGAAACCACGAUGCGCGGCUCCAUAUAUGGAGGGGGCCAUGCUAGGGAGAGGGUGCUACAACGCUCGGGUAUAAAGUUCCACGACGCUAACGACGUCGCUUCACACCGCGCCAGAAAGCUCGAAUCCCUUGGCUUCGUCGUUCUGUUGACGAUCUGUUGCUGAUAAAUUAUCCGUACGAUGUCUCUUAAUCUCUCGUAUGCCCGCUCAAUUCGAAGAAUUUAAGCUCUGCCGAAAUUUUAACACGACAUUCUGAAUAUAGAAUGAAAAUAUAAAUCUCCAGUGAUUUGAAUAAUAUUAUUUUAUUGUUGUAUCUCUUUUUCAAACAAAAACAAAUUUUUUUAUUCAAUAUUAAAAGUUUCAUUAUAGAAAUAGAUUUAAUUUCAUUCAUUUACAAAUUAUUAAAUUCGCUAUGAUUUAUCUCUGUAUUUGCUGAACAUUAUUAAUCGUAAGAUGUGUCUACUAUUUUCCAAUAAAACUAUUAAAUUAAAUUCCCGAAAUUUAUAGAUUAAAUUGAUUUGAUGUUAAUAAUUUAAGCAGUGAAGUUAAACAAUGAUCUUAUAAGAAUAGAGAAUUAUAUUAAUAAUUUUUAUUAAAAUUGAAAUAGAUUAUUUUUUAUUUUGGAUAAAAUUAUCAUUGCUUUUUUUUCUAACGUUUGUGAUUUAUCUUAAAAUCUUUUUCUGUUUUAAAUGUAUUAUGUUGUUUUCGAAAAUGAAUGUAACAUAAUUCACUGAGAAUUUUGGCAUUCACUUGAAUUUAUGCAAUGUUAAAAAAAUUUCAGUAAAAUUUCAAAUAAUUUUAAAGUUUAGAAA
Molecule: long non-coding RNA, 1187 nt
Organism: Apis mellifera (honey bee)
Lineage: Eukaryota; Metazoa; Arthropoda; Insecta; Hymenoptera; Apidae
Exons: 2
Source: RefSeq, a predicted model, not a curated record